Long non-coding RNA from Bombina bombina (fire-bellied toad), 1026 nucleotides. RefSeq lists it as uncharacterized. The record is from RefSeq and is a predicted model, not a curated record. The transcript has 4 exons. Lineage: Eukaryota; Metazoa; Chordata; Amphibia; Anura; Bombinatoridae.
AUUGGAUCCUAUCCAGAAGCCCUGCAAGCAGCACAACCCUAACACUGCACAUCUUCGGUGGGGAUCUUACACACAGCAAGCUGGUUUGCUGUAGAAAACCAGCCUGCUCCUGUUGGCACAAUAGAGUGCCGCUCAUUUUCAAAACACUUCAGAUGUUGAUUGGUUAUGUUCUGCGCUGUAGGGUUCAUAGGAAUGAACCCAUUGCUUUUCAAAAGUGUUUCAAUCGCUGGCUGCAAGCGGACAGUUUGUCAAUCCUGCUAUUCUUCAAGAUGGUUUAUCUUGUGUGUGGAUCUAAACAUUAUAUUUGACAACAUGACGUGUCCACCCCCUGGGAUUCCCCCCGGAUUGGCCAGACACUCCGUCGGCUAUUCCAGGGUGGAAGAAGCCGCUGAUCUUGGUUUGAUUAGCAGAACAAUGAGUAUACUGGACGAAGUGUGGAGGACGUCGUCUGCACAGAAUGGGCAAAACCCGCUGGCAUUCCCCACAUUUCAUCUACAGAAAAAAGGUGUUUUUUUUUUUUUGAUCAACCCAGAGAUGGGCACAAAAGUAGAGAAGACAAACAAAUCUCGUCAUCAUGUGAACUUUAGAGUUCUUACCUUGAUUUAGGAACUUUCAGAUUAUGAGUGGCGUGAUGUCUGACUAUGAACUUAAAAAGCAAAAUAGAAUGAUCCAGGCACUCUAUGUAGGUAAGAUAGGCAUAUUUAUUUUGACAAAACACGCAGCAAUGUAUUGACUCCCAAUGGAGUCUUUUUCCAUUGGGAGUCGAAAUGUUGCUCCAUGUUUGUCCAAAUAAAUAUGCCUAUCUUACCUACAUCUUUCUAUUUUGCUAUUGAUAUUUGGGGAUCCUGGACUUGGAUGCACCUUGGAUGGUAGUGGAAGAGUGCAGUUCCUCUCAUGCUUUACUGCGGAUAUGGACUUAAGUCAGUAAGAUUUGACAUGUGCCACACUCAUAGCUUGAAGAUUUGUUUCAGCUCAUUAGCUGCCUACUUCUUCAAGCUGAAGAACCAAUAAAAGUUAUAGACAAAA